Molecule: long non-coding RNA, 2560 nt
Filed under: Penaeus japonicus
Lineage: Eukaryota; Metazoa; Arthropoda; Malacostraca; Decapoda; Penaeidae
Description: uncharacterized LOC122248156
Source: RNAcentral
AACUCUGAACUAGUCAUUCGCGAUGGAAAACAGCAAAUACGCGUAAUAUACAUCAGGAAAAAUUGUAAAGAAAAAAAUAAAUUCGAUGGCUGUGAGGAACUGGAAAUAUACCCUCCUUUCUUUUGAUAUAAUGGCACAGUAAGUAACCAGCUCGACAUUUACUGAUAUUUUAUUAUUUUGGGCAGAAGUCAGUGAGGAGAAAUAAUGUUGGGAACAAACAUACCCUAUUAUGUCUCCAUUAGCUCCUGCUCAUCUGUCCCUACCGUAUUCUGAUGCAGCAGUUGGAAGCAUAUUUUCUCAGAAGAACGUAGCUCACACGAAAAGAAUCGCUUCAAGAUAAGAUCGAUGGAAACCAUUCUUCAAAUUCGAUACGGACUGAAGAGGGACUAAUCGUGCACAAGAUUCACACCUAUCACUAAAAUUAUCAAGAAUAUGUUCAUCGAAGAUCCGCCAGGAUGGAAGAUCAAGAAACAGGAGACGAAAUUGUUGCCUUGGAAGGUGACUUAGGCCUGUAGAAAACACACUAAAUGCACAUAGGAGCAAGUGAUGUGGUAGAAGCAGCUGACAGGUAUAGGAGUGCCUGUUUAUGCCGUGCAAGUUACAGAAGUUUCCUCUGCCUAAAACUUUCAUGCAGUCUAAGUAUAAGGGCAGUAAUAAUGGUUAAGUCGUGCUUGUGUUAAAAGUGGACAUAUUAAACCAAACUGCCCUGAUGACCAAAGGAAUUUCCGAGGUGUGGAGAUCUCGAGCAUAUCCUGUCCUGAUGACCCCAGCCCUGCAACUGAUGACUUGGCUACCCUAACAUUCCGCCGUAGUCCUGAUCCUUGUGACCAUCCAGAUGACCCUAGUCCCCAUGACCUAACCGAAAUACCUAACAAACCUCCAUUCCUUACUCGCAUCCAAAUAUCAAAAGGUAUGAAGCGAAAGUUCUCGUCAAUAUUCUACAGAUGUCCAUGGUUCAACAAGAGCAACCAAAUAGAUUGGUGUAAAGUGCCCUGCAUGAAGCACAUAAUCACUAUAAAACUUUUGAUUUGGUAAGGAAGAGAAUAGAAAAUGGUAAAGAAAGUAAAUUCACGUUCUGUGAAGUACGAAAUGUGCAAUGAUUUGAUCUAUCGAGUCUAUCAAAAGCAAGAACAUUAAUGAAGUUGGCACAAAACUUGUUCAAGAGUGUGUGUUGACGUCAACACAUUAUUUUUUAACUGAUGGACAUUUCUCUCGCAGUAGGACUAACUUUUAAGUAUUUCGGAAAUUAUCUUGCACUUGUGUUGAAGCUGAAAUUAAGCCGUCGGAUAUGGAGCAUAAGUUUGCUUUGGCCACAAGUCGAGCCCAGUCGAUAGUCUUAAAAAUACAGAGUAUCAUGAUAAUUUGGUUGUUCACAAUGUUAAUUGGGAUGAACAUUUACAAGAUCUAAGAGAAGAGACGCACUAGAGAGAUUACGUCAUCAUGGUUUAAUAGCUGGUAUAAGCAAGUAUUUAUUUGGCUUCUCUAAACUCAGAUAUCUUUGUUUUCAUCGGGUGAAAACGAAAUUGAACCAUUAUAGGUCCAAGGAAAAUCAGUUUCUUCUAUGACUUUACCAUAAACCAUAAAGGACUGGAUAAAAUUUCUGGGGAUUGUUCCAUUUUAAAGAUCUAUUCUUAAAUUUGCAAACAUUGCUGCUCCUAUGAAUUGAAUGUUCAGAAAAUAUUCAAGUAAUAAACUUUAUUGGGAUGAGAAUAUAAUAAAUAUAAUAAGAACUAAAACUUGAGCUGAUAUCUAAGCCAAUCUUGUCUGCCAGACGAUUCAAAGAUGCAUAUACAAGCUAUAAACCUCUAGAUCAGGAAAGAUGAUAUGGCACUAUUAAGAAAGAAUUAUUUGCGAUUGCUUAGAUCAAUCCAAGAGUUACAUUUAUGGAAAGGAAUGUGUGCUUUAGAAAGUUAAUAACCUUUAACAUAUUUACGUUAAAUGAGGAAUUCAAAUGGAAGACUUAAGAAUACAAAGUAUUCGGGGGCAUUCAUUCAAAAUCUGUAGAAAAUUACACCAGGCAAUUUACUUUUUGCAUAAAUUCCUGAGACUUAUGCGUAAAUGUAGGGCAUUGUAAAGAGUUUAGAAAUUGCAUAGUAUAUGACUUUGAUAAGUGAUAUGCUUAUCAUUGGAAAUUUAGUAAAUUGUAAAUAUCUUGUUUAUAUCCAUUCUCCUUUGUUAAGCGCCAAGUGCGGAGGUGGCCCCUCACCUGUUUUCCCUUGAAGCACUUUGCCACUGACCCUGCUUGUGUUAGCAGUAAUUUUACCUGCUUGUGAUCUUAUUUUCCGCAGAAUUUUGUUUUACAUAGUGCAUAUUAAGGGAGUGAAAUGGUGGUAAUUCUUUUCAACAGCUUUUUUUUCCAGCAUUUUUCUAGUACGAGGCGUUAUCUAAACUAGCCUCCAAUCCAUCAAGAAAACGAGUGUGCCACGCCCCCACCUACUGGCUGGCCGUGGAUUACGGUUUGUGAUCAUUCACAUAGAAGUGAAGCACCUGAGGACCUGGUAUUUUUUUUGUUUGGGUUUGUUGUUCAUUUGAUUGUUCAAAAUAAAAUAUAUAUAAUUGU